RNAcentral lists this ribosomal RNA (497 nucleotides) under uncultured bacterium. RNAcentral's name for it is "partial 16S ribosomal RNA". It matches the Rfam family "Bacterial small subunit ribosomal RNA", at positions 28 to 507 of the family's 1533-position model. The record is from RNAcentral.
GAUGAACGCUGGCGGCGUGCCUAAUACAUGCAAGUCGAGCGAACGGACGAGAAGCUUGCUUCUCUGAUGUUAGCGGCGGACGGGGGAGUAACACGUGGCUAACCUACCUAUAAGACUGGGAUAACUUCGGGAAACCGGAGCUAAUACCGGAUAAUCUUUUGAACCGCAUGGUUCAACAGUGAAAGACGAUCUUGCUGUCACUUAUAGAUGGAUCCGCGCUGCAUUAGCUAGUUGUUAAGGUAACGGCAUACCAAGGCAACGAUGCAGAGCAGACCUGCGAGGGUGAUCGGCCACACUGGAACUGAGACACGGUCCAGACUCCUACGGGAGGCAGCAGUAGGGAUGCGUCCGCAAUGGGCGAAAGCCUGACGGAGCAACGGCGCGUGAGUGAUGAAGGUCUUCGGAUCGGAAAACUCUGUUAUUAGGGAAGAACAUAUGUGUAAGUAGCUGUGCACAUCGUGACGGUACCUAAACAGAAAGCCACGGCUAACUACGUG